Molecule: long non-coding RNA, 1042 nt
Organism: Cornus florida
Lineage: Eukaryota; Viridiplantae; Streptophyta; Magnoliopsida; Cornales; Cornaceae
Exons: 5
Source: RefSeq, a predicted model, not a curated record
ACACAUACAUUAGGGCAAAUCAUUUCAGCCUCCCCACUCUGAACUUGCCCCAUCUCUCUCUCUCUCUCUCUCUCUGCAACUGCAAACUACAAAAUCUGCGAGAAUCAGAAGUUCAAAACCAUAUAAUUCAGUUUAUGUAUCUGUCUGCAAGAAUCAAAAUUUCGAAACCUAUUACCUACAUAAAAACCCAUAUCGGCAUAUCAUUUCAGAUUGUUCAAAAAAUCAAAACCCAUAUCCUUCAGUUUCCAUCGCCGGCCGCUGUUACAGUUCGGGUUUGCCUUUCGCAAGCUUCAGCCGCUGGCCCGCUGUGUCUCAACUCUCAAGCCCCUCUCUCUAUAACUGCUAACUGGAGGAAAUUCAUGAGUUGCUUCUGAGUUUUGCAGAAGCUGGAGCCACAGUUGUGAGACUUAAAGGAGGUGAUCCACUAGUGUUUGGGAGAGGUGGGGAGGAGAUAGAUUUCUUGCAACAACAAGGGAUUGAAGUGCAAGUCAUUCCAGGUAUCACUGCUGCUUCAGGAAUAGUAGCAGAACUGGGGAUCCCUUUUACCCACCAUGGUGUUGCAAAUAGUGUUAGAUUUCUCACGGGCCACUCAAGAAAUGGAGGAACAGACCCCCUGUUUAUUGCAGAAAAUGCAGUGGACCCUGAUUCAACUUUGGUUGUUUAUAUGGGUUUGUCAACUCUCCCUUCUCUUGCACAAAAGUUGAUACACCACGGUUUGCCACCCAAUACACCAGCUGCUACAGUUGAGUGAGGGACCACGCCUGAACAACGCAUUGUAAAAGCUAGGAUUGAGGGAUUACGGUUCCGGUUAGUUUUUUUAUUGCUGUUAUAUUUUUUGUAUGGCUCAUGAAGAAGUUUUUAUAUAUGGAAGAAAGAGACUAAAACAGAGCAAGAAGAUAUGAAGAAUUUUUGUUUUAUUUUGGUUGAGUAAAGAUAUAAAGUGUGGAUCAUGUACUUCUUUGAAAUUUGUAUAUAUUUUUGUAUAAAAACAUUAUUUGGAAUUGGUUAUAUAAAUAUGAUGUUAUUGGCCAGUUGUAAGUUA